This 12201-nucleotide long non-coding RNA is filed under the name Equus caballus (horse). RNAcentral's name for it is "lncRNA (ENSECAG00000050537.1)". The record is from RNAcentral. Lineage: Eukaryota; Metazoa; Chordata; Mammalia; Perissodactyla; Equidae.
GGUCUUGGAAGGGUCCUGCUGUGCACACCUGCUAUGGCCACCAUCUCUCUCUCUUAUUCAGUGUGUUGCCAAGUCACCAGGAGCGGGACGUGCUUUCUCUAUUACACAGAACAACAAAGAGGGAAUAAGUGGUUCGAUAGCAAGGACUGAUAACUGCCUCACACAAAGAAAGCAUGGGCCUCCCAAAAGCUUUAAAUUACAACUUUGAUGCCACUGAUCAGGGUUCCCGCAGUUGCAACUGGGACAUGGAGAAGCCGCAGAAGAGGCAGGGCAGGCCUGAAAGCACCAUCUCACACUGCAGAGCUCUCAGCUGCCCAAGUGAUGUGCAGAGAAAUCCCCCUUCAUGAUAGACGGAGUUUGAAGUUCUCCUGGACUCUGGCUGCAGGGGCCUGCCCGUUAGUCAAGAAGUAGCCACUCGGGGCACUAUGAGCACUCCUUGGGGAGCUCACGUGGAGGACGACGUCCGCAGCACGGCUGUCCACACCAGCAAUCCUUGCAGCGGGUCAUAUGGGCUUCACGAGGGUAUGAAGAAAACAAAAUGAAAACAAACUCCUGAGCGCUCACUGCUCAUCACCACUCAAUUGCUCACAAUCCUAGAAAAUAUGCCAAGCAGACUCCUGGACGCUAGAAAAAUGGACUAAAUGUGGCUGGAUAAUAUGGUGAAAUGUGCAUUUUUUUCUUCCUUCUCAUUUUCUCUUUCCCUUUUCCUUUCACCCCAAUUUAAGGAGUAGCCUGCCCUAUCUCAGGGGAGGUAUGCAAUGGGACAGAAAAUAAAAAUAACAUGCCAAAUACUUUCCUUCAUGGCUGUAAGCACAGGGAGAGGAGAAGGAUUGUGGAUGGAAGCCUCAGAUCACUGGCCCCAGAGAAGGAGCUUUUUUUUUUUAACUAAUAUUAAAUAAUUGUCUAAAAUUUUUUAAACAACUUUCUAGUAACUCAUACACUAAAGAAUGUAAAAAUACACAUGGAAAGCAUUGACAUAAGGCCAUAUUUUAGCAUCAACCACAGAAACACCUGAACAGGAACCCCCACCAAAAAGAUUUAGGAAGCUUUGAAGUGAGGGUCUGGAGUUAUUUCUGCUUUGAAGCCACUCCUUUAGCUUUACAGCUCCCUAAAGACAGAGAUUAAGCAAGAAGUGAAGUCCUGUGAAGAUAUUUUUGGUACUCUGCUUUCUCAAAAACUUAAGGGAAUUGCACAUUCAUGCUUUUUUUGUGUAAAUGCCUCUGUCCCAGUUUCUGCUUCUCAGCUUCUGAAUGUCAUCCAGCAAGAAGGAUCCGUGAGCGGGAUGCUCCACAGAUGUGAUUCACAAAGUCGCCCCUGCUGGCCUUUUUCCUUCCAUCUGGGGGUCAGCCCAGGUCUAUGGGUAAAUCACAUCCUUCUACCAGGUAAAUAACCAACUGCUCAAACCCAAGAAAGGGUACAGGGCUGGGAGCCAGGGGAGGGAAAGGGCGGCAUCUUACCACUUGACUCAAUUUUCUGUUUGUAUCAAAGGAUUUUUUAAAAAUAAACAUUUUAUUUUGGAGUAAUUUUAGAUUUACAGAACACUUGCCAAGAUAAUACAGAGAAUUAUACUGUAUACCUCUCACCCAGUUUCCCCUAAUGUUAACAUCUUCCAGUACAUGGCACAUUUGUCAAAACAAGGAAAACAAUAUUAGUACAUUAUGGUUAACUAGUAUUCAUUCCGAUUUCCCCAGCUUUUCCACUGAUGUCCUUUUUCUGUCCCAGGAUACCAUUGUAUUUUGUGAGGCAUUAUUUUAAAAUUUAAUCUUUAUUUUUGUAAAGGUUGUACACGUUUAUGGUUUAAAAAGUGAAAUGAUCGUAUGUGACUUGUAACAAAGAAACGCAGUCUUCUGCCCAAACCCUCCUCCACGCCAGUUCCCUUCUCCCAAAGGCAAAUGAUUCCAGCUUCCUCAUUGCUUUCACUGCCCUCCCUUCGGUCAGCCAUGCUGGCCUCUGCGCUGUUCCUCCAACAUGCCAGGCCUACUCUCAUUUUUUUUUUUUUUCUUGAGGAAGAUUAGCCCUGAGCUAACAUCCGUGCCCAUCUUGCUCCACUUUAUAUGUGGGAUGCCUACCACAGCAUGGCUUGCCAAGCGGUGCCAUGUCUGCACCCUGGAUCCGAACUGGUGAACCCCAGGCCACCGAAGCAGAACGUGCGAACUUAAUCGCUAUGCCAUUCUCAUUUUAAGGCUGAAUCUUUGCUCAAAUGUCUCCUUUCCAAAGAGGUCUACCCUGACCACCCUAUUUAAAAUUGUAAUACUUCUCACCCAUGCGUUCCCAAUUGCUCUCACUCUGCUUUUUCUUUCUCACACUAUGUAAUUUAUGUAUUAUGUACAUUUUUUAUCAUCUCUCUUUCUCUACUGGAAGGUAAGCUCUAUGGAGGCAGAGGUAUUGCCACUGAUGAGUCCUAAAUACCCAGAACAGUGCUUGGCACACAGUAGUCAUUCAAUAAAUCUUUGUUGGAUAAUUAAAUGAAUGAAUGAACAUUGAGAGCAAAGGAAGCAGACAGAAAGGCGUAAGUUCUUUCCUCUUCCAGCUCUGCAAUAUCCCUCUAGUUCCCUUAUUGACAGGGCCUAACAUGGAGCCAGCUGGCAAGGGAAAAACGCAGUUUGCAAAGUUCUGGCCCCAGCAUCACAGAGCAAAGUGUAGAAGGGUGGGUUUGAAGCUGAGACACAAUAGUGUAAUAACUGGUGCACACACACACAUUUAUCCUGCCCUAAUCUUGACAAUAUAGUUAUAUUUGAACUUUUGGUUAAAUCUAUAUUUACUGUUUAUGUUAUGGUUAAUAUAUAACAUUGUUUAGAGCCGAGUCAUGUAACGUGCUAUGAUAACAUUUCCUUUCUUGUAUAGCUUUCUGUUUUUCCUGGAUUUAAUAAUUGCCUUAUCUUUCUAUGGCUCAAUUUCAUCCCCAAAAUUCUCACAUAGAACCAUAGAACUCCUCUCAAUACAAACACAUCAGGAGUCUAUUAGCUCAGUUCUUUCCUUAGCUACAUCUUUCCUUGCAGUCCUCUGUCCUCCCACCUUGUGUUUCUGACUGUUAAGCUUCUUGAUUCCUGUGGUUAUGUCUUCCCAUAUUCUGUAACAGCCUUUCAUUUCCACAUAGUCAAAUGUAUCAGAUGAUCCAUCAGUUCUUUUAUUUUUCUUUCCUCCUGGAGCCCUGUACCCUCCUUCUCCAGGCAGGUUGUUAAUCUCAAGGCCUGUUGCAUAGUUGUUGUUCUGGAAAGUUCCUUCCCUAUCGUCCUGGAUGUCUUCUCUCUCACGUUGAAUCUUCCAUUUCCUGAAUCCCAAGCUUCCUCUUUCUUGGUGUUUGAGGCUCACAUCGUGCAGUGUCUUCAUGAUAAAUUAUACACAGUAGAUAAGCAUUUUUCAUGUCUGAACUGGCCUGCUCUCAGACUUGAUGGACAGUUUGUUUGGGUAAGAAAAUCUAAGUUGAAAACUAUUUUCCUCAGAAUAUUGAAGGUAUUGUUCCAUUGUCCUCUAAUUUUCAAGUUGCCAUUGAAAAGUCCCAUGUUAUUCUGCCUCUCAGUCCUUUAUAUGUAAACUAUUCUCCUUUUGUGGACUCCUCUCUGGACUGUAGGACCUUCCUUGUUUCCUGUGUUUUUCAUUUGUUUGUCUGUCCAUUUUGGUUUCUGGUGAUCAUGACUAUUUACUCAUAUGUGAAAGUGAGAAGCCAAAAAGCUGAUGUCCAGUGCGCAUGGUGGGGCUUAUUGAAAACUAGCCAUUUUGUUGAUAAAUCCUUUCUGUCAGUAUUUCCUCUUAGACUGGUCAGUUCUUCCAGGUAGAAGUGAUUCUACCUGGGUAGAAGUGGUCAACAUGAUUUAGGUAUUUCUGAUGAGAGCGUAUUGGGGAAGGGAGCCUGCUCAGGAUGUGGGCUCUCACUUAAUCCCACUCUUUUCCAUUUGGUACUCUGCUCUGCCCCACCGCUGUACCCUGAGUCCUCAACUCCAAAGCUCCUUUGGCUCAGUCUCUGCAGAGAAUGCAUUUGCUCCUGUUCCCUGCCAGAGUGUUCAAUCGCCUGGCUGUGUGAGGUAGGAAAAGGGAUAUGAAGUCUAGAGUCACACUCUGAACCAUUGGAGUCACACUCUGAACCAUUUCCUGGCUCUACCACUGUGUGACCCUGAGCAUGUCAUGUAGGAGCCUCAGUUUCCUCUGAAAUCUGAGGGCCUUUGAGACACAUGCGGUCUCUAGGGCUCUCUCAGCCCUGGCCUCUGUGAUGUAUGAAACUUCACAAGGUGGAGUUCUCUGCCUAAUGAGUAAUACAGACAGGAAGAUACAGGAGGUCAAAAAAGGGGAGGUGACAGUGGGACAGGGUGGUAGGGAGACAUCAAAGAAAAGGUGAGACUUGAGAAGGACUAGGGCAAGUCAGAGAAGUGGAGGAGCGAGCACCUCUUCAGGUGGUCCAAGUGGAAGAUAUAUUGGGCAGGAUUUUCACAGCACUUUUGGUGCCCAGUAAGUAGACAGGGGAUGAUGGAGUUGGAGAGUAAAUUUGGGUCAGAUUGUGAGGAAUUUGAGUCUCCUCUCUAAAUCAGUGGAUCUGAGGAUUAAAAUCAUCUGGAGAGCUUUUUAAAAUGCCAGAGAGACUUUAUAAAUCAGAAUGUCAGAGAGUAAAGCCCAGGAACCCCGAUUUCUUUAAAGUUGCCACAUGACUCCAACAAACUUGAAAGUUUUGAAAUCCCUUCCUUAGGCAAUGAACCAUGGAUAAUUUGUAAUCAGGAAUCAUGAUAGAAGUGGGAAUUUUAGAAAGAUGAAUUUGACAGCCAUAUGCAAGGUGGACUGGAGGUUGAAGGACAGGAGACAAGGACCUAUAGGAAGCAAGCUCACUGCCCCAGGCAGAGGGUCAUGAAGGCCUAUAGAAGGGAAGUGACUAAGGAGAGAGAAAGAAGAGACUGUACCAAUCCAUCUGUUAUGGUUUGAAUUGUGUCCUUCCCAAAUUCAUGUGUUGAGGUCCUAACCCCCCUCAGAAUGUGACCUUAUUUGGAAAUAGGGUCAUUGUAGAUAUAAUUAGUUAAGUUAGGAUGAGGUCAUUAAGGUGGGCCCUAAUCUAAUAUGACUGCAUCCUUAUAAAAAGAGGAAAUUUAGACACUGGCACAGACACACAUAGAGGAAAGACAAUGUGAAGAGACACAGGGAGAAGACAGCCAUCAACAGACUAUGGAGAGAGGUCUGGAACAGAUCCUUCCCUCACAGCCCUCAGAAGGAACCAACCCUGCCAACACCUUGAUUUUGGACUUGUAGCCUCCAGAACUGUAAUACAAUAAAUUUCUGUUGUUUACGCCAUCCAAUUUGUAGUACUUUGUUAUGGCAGCCCUAGAAAAAAAUACACCAUACUUUUGGAAACACGUUCCUAGAUUCAAGUUACCUCCUCUUCACUUUCUUGUGAGGAAUGAUUCCCCAAAGCCACCUUUCUGAGGGGGCUGGAAGCAGUGGUUGCAGAGUAAGGCAUGUAUUUCUGACACUGUAGGAUGCUCUUCAACCUGAGGAGUGAGUGCAGGGCUGACUUUUCUGGGUCAUUGGUCAGUUUGUUCCCAGGACCCACCUGAGAAAUCAAAGAACCAACUCCAGUGAUUGGAAAUUGCUGGACAGAAAUGCCCAUUCUCCCCACCUGAGGAAGUAAUCAACGCCAAGAAUGUCCAACUGUGAGUAAAGCCACAGAAGAGAAGGGAGACUCAUGUCCGUGGAGCCAUUAACAACCCACUGGUGGCUCAUCCAGAGAGAACGGAUCUGCAAGAGGUGGAACAACCUACAAAAAAAGGUAAACCCUCGCUUUCUCAUUUUAUGACUUGGCCUUUGCUGAAAUAACUAUCCUCCUUGGCUAAACAAAGAAUUUCCAAGAACUCUAUAUAUCAAAGUCAAUGUCAUGAUGACUGAUGUAACACUGUGGGGCCAGGGACAGGCAAGUCUACCACAGAAUUCUUGGCCUCCAGCCAUUCAGUGCUGCCCUUGCUAACAUCCUUGGCCCCUUUGGCCCUUUUACCUGCCAAUGCUUCCAACACCAACCCUUACUCUAGGUCACCCACCAUCUGCUCACUCCAGGGCUGCCAAAUUUUGCUAGAGAAAAGUAUUAUAACUGUACCACUGGGGCUGUAUUCCCACUCCGCAACCACAUGUUGGCCCUUCCUGCUCCCACAGUUAUCCGUCUGAAAUUGGCUGUCUGUUGCUUCCCUUGCAAAGAAUUUCUAGAUUCCACAAGUCUCCAAUUUCGUCCCCAUGUCUCUUUCAUCUGAGAAGGUCAUUUUCAAUUUCCUGUGAAGCAAAAAGUCUUCAGGCAUACACUACCUCAACUCUAUUUCUCUCCACCUUAGCAUUUCUCUGUCCACAUCCAUCUUCUCCUGGGUUGCUCCUAUUUCAGAGAAUAAGGUGAUGUUUUUAUUUCCUUGUCCAGGCAAACCCAACUCUGCUCUGGAUCCUAUCCCUCACUGUAACAUCAAUUAUUUCAUUUAUUUAAAAAGCACUUUUAUUACAGAAAAUUUUAAACACAUGCAAACGAUCUUACUUACUUUUUCAAAGUAUUCAAGUAUUUUCAAACUCCUCUGGCUUUCUUGCCUGCAAGUUUAGUUCUCCAGCCUUAAAAGCAAAUUUUUUAAAGACUAUCCUAAUCUUGCUACUCCCUUGAGUAAAAGAAAUUACUCCCUAAUUUCUUUCCAUUUGUUUCCAUUUUUUUUCCAGAUGUUGCCAAUGAGUUAUUUCCUUUCUCCCCUUUUUUUCUUAACUCCCGAAAUCUAGCUUCAAUCUCUAUCACUCUACUGAAAUUCCUCUUUCACCUGCCUGAAAUUAUACAGUGAGAAAGGGGUUGGGCAGAAAAUCUAUGCUAGGGCUUUCUGGCUGAGGCCAACACCACUGCUUGGCACUGCCUGUGCUAACAAGGAGCAUUUUGACCUCAUAGGAGCAGAAACACAAAGGUUCAUGAGGCCACGACUUGGCAUGGGUGAGCACCUUACACAUGCCGUGUAAGGGACCAUGCUAAGGACUGCGGAUAUGGAGGGGAACACACAGGGCUUCCUGCUUUCAGGUUGCUCAGUGUCUUGGGGAAGGGAGACACUAAUUACACAUACUCACAAAUGUGAGUCCAAUUAAUUACAAUUGUGACGGGCUCAAGGGAGCCAAGAGACUAGUCUUCUUAGGAUAGGUGCAUGGUUCUGUAAGGAAAAGGAAGGAGAGGGUGUGUCCAUUAAGGUGACAGGAGCUGCCUGAACAACUGCCAACACCUUGCUGGCCUAUCUCCCGACAAGCUCAUCUGAUCGGUUUGUAGAUGAAUUCCUGGUCUGUGGGCAGGUUUCCUCCCUGCAGGGAUGGGGGAACAUAGGCCCUUCAUCUUCGGGAUCCACCCUCCUGUGGGCCAGGCCUAGACUUGUCCUCUGACUUGCUUUCACAGCAGUGACCACAAGGAGUACACUGUAUUGUUCAGGUUCUUGAUCUCUUUCUCUGUUUUUGUUUUUAUUUUGUGCUUGUUUUGUUUUAUACUAGUAAAGAUAUUGGUUUGGGUGAGGGCUGUGCUCUGGUGGUGGGCCAGGCUGUAAAUGGUCUUUUAUUCAUGACACAUGUUUAGCACUGACUAUGAGGUAAGCAAGAUGCUGGGAUACUGGAGGACUCAAAGGGAAUAAGCUAUGCCUUUGAUCUACAAUGGCCUAUGUCUCAUCAGGAUAAACAGAAAUUUUGGUAGUUAGAAAGUGGAAUCGGCUCAAGAACUAUUUAGAUACUUAGAUUAUUCUGGAGAUAAAAAUGGAUCCGCUACGAUGCUUCAGCUUCGUGUAACAAUUUCUGGCCCAAGGUAGUUUCAGUGCAGGUGGUUAUGAUCUCACCGAGUCCAGAGUCAGGAGGCUCCAGCGUUUAUUCACCCUGUCAGCAGGGGCAGGCCAUGGCAGCUCCUCUGGGAUCCUCUUCCAGAGGCUCUCACCGAGGCCCUCGGACAGCAGCCCACCCACCCCGCACUGAUUUCCGUUUCCCAGAGGUCCCCUCCUCAGAACUGAUAUCAGAUGGGAGAAGCUUAGGCAGCAAAGGGAACCUCAGAAUCCGGGGUGUGGUUAGGGUCACCAUGGAAACGCCUGGGCGGAGCUUUGGCGAUGGGCGGGUCCCCAGGGAGGACUCACAUCACGUGAGGAACAGCCCCCCUUACGCCAGCUCUCAGAUCCCGUGGUCCUGGGAGCACCAGGUGGCUGCCCUGAGUGGGCCGGUCACUGCCCCCACCCCCAUUUGCUCCACCUGUGAAAGGAAGGCUGUGCGAAGGAGGAGCGAGAACUGGGUGCUGCAAUGGGCAAGGGUCGGUGUGAACACCCCCCACCCCUAGGGGAUGGGAGAUGGUGUCAGGGUCGUGACGUCAAGAGGGCCACAGUGAGAGCCGCCUGGCGAUUGGCCCGCCAAGCUCCGUGGUGAUUGGCCGCACAAGCAAGACCAGCUGAGAAUCACUUGGCGAUUGGCCAGGAGCGCAGCUGUGACGUCACAGGGAGGCAUUGUGACGAGUCAGGGUGGUUAUAAAAGCCGUGGCACCUAUCUGAGGCCUUGCUGAGAGACAGGGCACCUCCGCCUCUACUCCUUCACUUCGCUAUCUCCACCACAUUCUUCAACCCGAAGGACAGCGCGCCCUCCACCCAUCGUCCCGCCCCAGGCCUCUCACCCACACUAUGGGCUUCACCUUCCUGUUCGCCACACCAUCCUGCCCCUCUGCGGUCCCGCGAGGCCCGCACCUGCAUCUGGCGCCUCAGGGACCCAAACCCGGAGGCGCUCCUCACCUACAUUCCCAUUUGGAGUCAGAGUACAACAGACCACUCACCUGAGGUGCUGGUGGCCCAGGGACCUUCAGAUCUCCGGCAUCGAAACUAGAUUCAGGAUAGGAUAUCUGAGAGCCCUCCGACCACGUCAGCACACAGCAGCAGACACCCGGCCAAUCAGGAGCCCUCUGAGCCAGCUCAGCACAGGGUCAGUGAGCACCCUGGACACCUAGCCAACUAGGAGCCUCCCACCCCCAGCGCAACAAAGAGCUACCAAUGACCCCCCAACCCAGUUGCACACCAGGUGUCUGGCCCCAAGUUUUCCCUUUUCGUUCUGCGAUGAGCCCUCCUCUGCCUGGGAUGGUCAGCACCCCUGCCAGGCCCAGGUGAGCUGGCUGGAAGAGGCUGCUACCUGGUAGAAAAAAAAUACCGAAUACCAGUCAUGUGCCACCCCCUCAACCAUGCUGCACUCAGACAAUCUGAGGUCAGAAGUUGCAGAGAGUGAGAAAAGCAGCCUCGGAAACUUCGCAUUGCCUCCUGGCUACCUUGGCCCUGGCCAUGUCCCUGGCCCCCAGGUGGUGCCCCAACCACCAGAAAGAGAAGAACCAGUCCCAGCUGCCCCCAAACCCCACCACGAUUCAAUCAAUCUGUAAAACAGAAGGAAGCCCAGAAAACUCGACAAAACAACCUGAACACAAAAAUGUGGGCAUCUUGACCCAGACAUGAGAAAUCUGAAGCCACCAGUCCAGGCGGAAAUCCAUCUUCCAGUGGAGGGACCAGGUCAGCGGCUGUCUGUGAGGGCAGAGGUUGCUGCCUCUGUUGGAGCCAGGCUCAGAAACGUCCAUGGUUUGUGGCCUAGCCAGUGCUUGGGGCCAUUCAGAGUGCGGUCCCCCUGAUGGGUCACUGUGCUGAGGUGCUGGUGGGCUCAUGGCCUGAAGACCUCUGGCCUGGGACCAACUUCAGCUGUCCUGGUGGCAUAUCCCUUGGGGAGCCUUUUUCUUCUGGGAGUUCUCUUGUUCAGAGGGAGCAAAGGCUGCCAUGCCUUCAAACCAGAGAAUAACCAGAGUUGGAAGAGCUGUCCAUGGAAAUCCGAUUUAUAAAGGUUUGACAGGCUUUGAGGGAAAGCUGAAAUUGACAAAAACAGCUCUUAACAUCAGCAGGGAAAUUAGUAAGAAUCUGUCUGAGAAUGUCUCUGAGCUAAAGGAUUCCCUAAAACUGUGUGAAGAAGAAAACCAAAAGCUGAAAAAUCUGCUUGUCAACUUGGCGUCACAGGAAAGACACGAUUUAAAGAAUUUGCCAGGGGACAGGGCAUCCGUGGACAUGGCUGGAGAUGAGGAGGGGAACUAUGAGCAAGUCCGGAGGAGUCCCUGGCCCUGAGCGUAGAGUCCUUGGCCAAGCUCCUCCAGGCUAAGGGCAGGUCCUCCAGAUUGGAGAGGGAGGUGGACAUGCUACAAAAACAGGCCAAGCAGAGAUGUGAGUGGCAGGCCGACGUCUGUGAGCUGGAAGGCUUCUGCUUUGAAAUGCAGGGGUUCCUAGAAGCUUUUGCCUUCCAGGCAACAUUUUCAUAGUAGCACUUAGAGGUGACAUCCCUGCAUGCGCCCACCCCAGGAGUACAUAGAAGAGGAGCUGGGGCAGAAUGUGAGUCACCUCCUUGGAUGGAGGUGGCACGAGCUGCAUGAUGUAUGUGAGUUUUCAAUAUAUUGCAAUGCAGAAGAAGUGUCCCCAAAUGAUUGUGAUGUACAGCCUGGGAUCACGGUCACAGCAGCAUGCCACACAAGUUGUCACAUUCUCCAGCUGGUUGGGUCUCCACAGGGCAAGCGUCUAACUUGGCCCUCAGAACAGAGCUGUGAGGCGGGCAGGGGUCUCCACGGCUCUGAGAAAGUGUUGGUGAACUCCAGAGAGCUGACACUGAGCGCAGCCUGCCCUUCCCCGUCAAUACUUUUCGCAGUUGUUGCCUCCUCUAAAACUCAAAGCCAACCACUGAUGUGGGUGCCAUUCUGAUAGAAAGGAAAGCAGAAGCAGAGUGUCCACACACAGGUAUUUCUGUGUAGACCAUUUCUGGCCUGAGACCUCACAGCAAGUUUGUGGCAAAACUUGGCUUUGGCCCUGAUGUUAUGGCUCCAAACUCCAGCCACGGCAGCAGGUGACGAGACUAUAAAGUGUGGCUAGCAAGUGCAGCCCCAGUUAUGUGCUCAAACCAGAUGGAGCAAAUUUAAGUCUGACCAAAACUACAGCUGCUCAGCCUGGUCAGACACAGCUGGGAAAUUAUGGAACAAAUUGUGUGGGAAGUCAAGUCAUCAAGGUGAACUUGGGAGCCACUGGGGAGGCAGCUCCUCCAGUCCACUUGCCAAGCCAGCUGCGGAGGAGAGCUCCCCAGGCUGGGCAGCCUUGCACUUGGUGGGGGUGCCGCUGCUGCCUCUGACCUCCUGCAUGCCCCGCUUCUGAGAGAAUGGGAUCUCGGCAGCACUGAGAGCCAAAGGCAGAGGCUCACUCUCCGAGCCAGGUCAGCCCCUCAGCCCUCAUCACCCCUCCACCUUCCCAUCCCCAAAAAGAGCCAGCAGGACCCUCAGGGAGCUCCAGAACCAUCAGCAUCAGCAUAGCUAGGAUGCGGGCAUGCCCAGGACCAGGAGGUCGCACCCUUAGAGAAGUCAGGGUGGGGCCAGAGGAAGUAGCAGGACAGAGGAUUUGAAUGGAGAAAGAUGGAGUGUGGUGACGGCUGCUGACUUGUCCACUGGGCAAGUCACCAGGCAAGACCCUCCACCAGCAAAAAGAUUACAACCGGCUGAAGGCUCAGGUGAUGGUUCGCAUUUUUUAACAACAAAGUAUUUUUUAUUAAGGUAUGUACAUUUUUUAGACAUAUGCUACUAUACACUUAAUAGACCACAGUAUAAUGUAAAUAUAACUUUAAUAUGCCCUGGGAAACCAAAAAUUCAUAUGCAUAUGCAUAUGAAAUUCGUAUGCAAUAUUUGCUUUAUUGUGGUGGUCUGGAACAGAACUCACAAUAUCUUUGCGGUAUGCCUAUAUGACAGUGGUCCCAUAAGAUUAUAUAGCCUAGGUGUGUCGUAGACUAUACCAUCUAGGUUUGUGUAAGUUCAUUCUAUGAUGUUCACACAACGACGAAAUCACUUUACGAUGUAUUUCUUAGAACAUGUCCCCGUUGUUAAGCCAUGUAUGACUGUAGUGCCACAGCCUGUAAAGGUAUCUGAGCCUCUGCUCCCCUCUCUGUAAAACGAGAGUAUUAGCAGCAUCUACCUCCUGUGUCGUUGGGAGGACAGGAUGAGAUAAAGUACACAGAGCAUAAUACCAGGCCUACAGGAGGUUCUUAAUAAAUGUCCGAUAUUAUUAUUUUUGUCACAUCACUACAAUCAAACUGAAUUGCCUGGUUUCCCCACCCAAGUUCUAGGAUUUAUUUCCCAUCCCUCUACUUUUGCUCAUACUGUUCCCUCUGCCUGCACCUUCCACCCAUCAUCUCCACCUUCUGAAAUCCCUCCCAUACUCAAAG